CCCAAGGAUCGAACCUGCAUCUCUGGCAUCUCCUGUAUUGGCAGCUAAAGAAAACAGAAGAUCGAGACAGGCUAAGUGAAGAUCACAAAGCCAGUCAAUGUGGAGCUGAAUCUGAGACUGAGGACUUCAAAUGCUUGGUUCAAAGAGCAAGCAGAGAGAUAAAAUAGUAGCAUACUGGAUUCAUUAAAUAGUAAUGAUGAUGAUGAUGAU
Long non-coding RNA from Bubalus bubalis (water buffalo), 210 nucleotides. RefSeq lists it as uncharacterized. Lineage: Eukaryota; Metazoa; Chordata; Mammalia; Artiodactyla; Bovidae. The transcript is spliced from 2 exons. The record is from RefSeq and is a predicted model, not a curated record.